GACCGAGCGCUGAAUUAUUCACCAGAACUUUUCUGCGGUAUCAAGAGCAAGGAUUCAAUAUUCUGCGAACCCGCUCUUAUAAUCCGCCCCUUUAUACUCAGUUCCAUGUGUUCCUCUUGUAUUUACCUUUCUCCGGAUCAAAACUGUAAUACCUAUUGCAGCAGUUCCUGAUGAACGAGAUGAAAAGCAAUGGCCAAGUUAAAAGAAAUCCAAUUGUUCAGUCACUAAUGCAUCAUGUUGUACGGGUAAUGUUCUCCGUGUGAAAUACGAUGUUUCAAACAGUAUUAUUAUUAAUUUGUGUUUGUUGACUUUAAACAGAUUUUUCAAGUGUUGUUUUUAUUAAACUAAUCACUUUGUAAAUAUUAGU
This is a long non-coding RNA of Saccostrea echinata, 367 nucleotides long. RefSeq lists it as uncharacterized. NCBI's taxonomy places the organism in Eukaryota, Metazoa, Mollusca, Bivalvia, Ostreida, Ostreidae. The transcript is spliced from 3 exons. The record is from RefSeq and is a predicted model, not a curated record.